UUGUGAAAAGUGUAGAUACUCCCAGGGGAGUGUGUGGAACAAAUGAGCAUUAUCCAUUCUGUGUUUUAAUUAGAGGAAAAGCUGCUAUUUCAUUGUAGCAAAUGUACUGAUUUGUUAACUGUUUUUCUAUUAUUGCAUAUUUAUUGAUGAUAGGUGUUUGACCUGGUGAUGCUUUUCAUCAUCUAUAGCACCAAUACUCAGACAAAGAAGUAUAUUGAAAGGGUGCUAAGAAAUAAGAUUCGAUCAGCCUGCAUUCAAGAACAGCUGCUCCAGAGUACAUUCUCUGUUCAUUACUUAGUUCUUAAGGAUAUGUGUUCAUCCAUUCUGUCGCUGGCUCAGAGUUUGCUUCACUCUCUAGACCAGAGUAUAAUUUCAUUUGGGAGUCUCCUAUACAAAUAUGCAUUCAAGUUUUUUGACAUGUACUGCCAGCAGGAAGUGGUUGGUGCCUUAGUGACCCAUAUCUGCAGUGGGAAUGAAGCUGAAGUUGAUACUGCCUUAGAUGUCCUUCUAGAGUUGGUAGUGUUAAACCCAUCUGCUAUGAUGAUGAAUGCUGUCUUUGUAAA
This 563-nucleotide small RNA is filed under the name Pongo abelii (Sumatran orangutan). RNAcentral's name for it is "retained intron". Lineage: Eukaryota; Metazoa; Chordata; Mammalia; Primates; Hominidae. The record is from RNAcentral.